This 63-nucleotide transfer RNA is filed under the name Marmota monax (woodchuck). RNAcentral describes it as "tRNA.Ala". Lineage: Eukaryota; Metazoa; Chordata; Mammalia; Rodentia; Sciuridae. The record is from RNAcentral.
GGUGCUCAGUGGUAGAGCGCUUGCCUAGCACAUGUGAGGCCCUGGGUUCAAACCUCAGUACCA